UACGAAGGGGGCUAGCGUUGCUCGGAAUCACUGGGCGUAAAGCGCACGUAGGCGGAUCUUUAAGUCAGGGGUGAAAUCCCAAGGCUCAACCUUGGAACUGCCUUUGAUACUGGGGAUCUCGAGUCCGGAAGAGGUUGGUGGAACUGCGAGUGUAGAGGUGAAAUUCGUAGAUAUUCGCAAGAACACCAGUGGCGAAGGCGGCCAACUGGUCCGGUACUGACGCUGAGGUGGCGAAA
This 236-nucleotide ribosomal RNA is filed under the name uncultured bacterium. RNAcentral describes it as "partial 16S ribosomal RNA". It matches the Rfam family "Bacterial small subunit ribosomal RNA", at positions 524 to 758 of the family's 1533-position model. The record is from RNAcentral.